Molecule: ribosomal RNA, 449 nt
Filed under: uncultured bacterium
Lineage: Bacteria
Description: partial 16S ribosomal RNA
Rfam family: Bacterial small subunit ribosomal RNA
Source: RNAcentral
AACGAACACUGGCGGCAUGCCUAACACAUGCAAGUCGAACGAGAUCUUCGGGUCUAGUGGCGCACGGGUGCGUAACGCGUGGGAAUCUGCCCUUUGGUUCGGAAUAACAGUUGGAAACGACUGCUAAUACCGGAUGAUGACGAAAGUCCAAAGAUUUAUCGCCAGAGGAUGAGCCCGCGUAGGAUUAGCUAGGUGGUGUGGUAAAGGCGCACCAAGGCGACGAUCCUUAGCUGGUCUGAGAGGAUGAUCAGCCACACUGGGACUGAGACACGGCCCAGACUCCUACGGGAGGCAGCAGUGGGGAAUAUUGGACAAGGGGCGAAAGCCUGAUCCAGCAAUGCCGCGUGAGUGAUGAAGGCCUUAGGGUUGUAAAGCUCUUUUACCCGGGAUGAUAAUGACAGUACCGGGAGAAUAAGCUCCGGCUAACUCCGUGCCAGCCGCCGCGGUAA